CCUACGGGCGGCUGCAGUGGGGAAUAUUGGACAAUGGGCGAAAGCCUGAUCCAGCCAUGCCGCGUGUGUGAAGAAGGCCUUCAGGUUGUAAAGCACUUUCAGUGGGGAAGAAAGCCUUGGGGCUAAUACCCUCGAGGAAGGACAUCACCCACAGAAGAAGCACCGGCUAACUCCGUGCCAGCAGCCGCGGUAAUACGGAGGGUGCGAGCGUUAAUCGGAAUUACUGGGCGUAAAGCGCGCGUAGGCGGUCUGAUAAGCCGGUUGUGAAAGCCCCGGGCUCAACCUGGGAACGGCAUCCGGAACUGUCAGGCUAGAGUGCAGGAGAGGAAGGUAGAAUUCCCGGUGUAGCGGUGAAAUGCGUAGAGAUCGGGAGGAAUACCAGUGGCGAAGGCGGCCUUCUGGACUGACACUGACGCUGAGGUGCGAAAGCGUGGGUAGCAAACAGGAUUAGAUACCCGUGUAGUC
This 465-nucleotide ribosomal RNA is filed under the name Vreelandella stevensii. RNAcentral's name for it is "partial 16S ribosomal RNA". It matches the Rfam family "Bacterial small subunit ribosomal RNA", at positions 338 to 795 of the family's 1533-position model. The record is from RNAcentral. Lineage: Bacteria; Pseudomonadati; Pseudomonadota; Gammaproteobacteria; Oceanospirillales; Halomonadaceae.